CCUCAGAAAGAAAAAACUUGAGAAUCCCUGUUGUAAGGGACCAUCUGUCACAAAGAUGAGCUCACCUAUGUAGGGAGACAUAUGGGAUGACCCAAGGGGACUGUCUGUGAUUCCAUGUUAAUGCUGUUACAGUGCCUGAAGCUUUUACAACGGAUACUUGGUUGGUGAAAUCUACAUAUAGACCUCACAGUCAAUUUGGUGUUUGUUCUCUGCUUCUUUCCAGUGUCAAAGUGGAACAAAGGGU
Molecule: long non-coding RNA, 244 nt
Organism: Dermochelys coriacea (leatherback sea turtle)
Lineage: Eukaryota; Metazoa; Chordata; Testudines; Dermochelyidae
Exons: 3
Source: RefSeq, a predicted model, not a curated record